GUUAAAAAGCUCGUAGUUGGAUUUCUGUUGAGGACGACCGGUCCAUACCAUGUAUGCGCAUCUGGCUCGGCCUCGGCAUCCUCUCGAUGGACGUUUCUGCGCUUGAUUGCGUGGUGCGGACUUCGGGACUUUUACUUUGAGGAAAUUGGAGUGUUCACGGCAGGCCUUCGCCAGAACAUAUUAGCAUGGAAUAAUACUAUAGGAUCUUGGUUCUAUUUUGUUGGUUUCUAGAACUGAGGUAAUGAUUAAUAGGGACAAUUGGGGGCAUUCGUAUCAACGCGUCAGAGGUGGAAUUCUUGGAUUGCGUUGCGACGAACUACUGCGAAAGCAUUUGCCAAGGAUGUUUUCAUUGAUCAAGAACGAAAGUAAGGGGAUCGAAGACGAUUAGAUACCGUCGUAGUCUUUACUAUAAACUAUGCCAACUAGAGAUGGGACAUCGUUCACUUACGACUUGUUCCGCACCUUAUGAGAUAUCAAAGUCUUUGGGUUCCGGGGGGAGUAUGGUCGCAAGUCUGAAACUUAAAGGAAUUGACGGAAGGGCACCACCAGGAGUGGAGCCUGCGGCUUAAUUUGACUCAACACGGGGAAACUCACCAGGUCCAGACAUAAUAAGGAUUGACAGAUUGAUAGCUCUUUCUUGAUUUUAUGGGUGGUGGUGCAUGGCCGUUCUUAGUUCGUGGAGUGAUUUGUCUGCUUAAUUGCGUUAGCGAACGAGACCUUAACCUGCUAAAUAGGAGCGCAUAUCUUCGGAUAAGCGCCUUUCUUCUUAGAGGGACUUUAUGCGUUUCAGCAUGAGGAAGUUUGAGGCUAAAACAGGUCUGUGAUGCCCUUCGAUGUUCUGGGCUGCACGCGCGCUACACUGAUGCGUUCAACGAGUGUACAACCUUGCCCGAUAGGGUUGGGUAACCUUUUGAACACGCAUCGUGAUGGGGAUAGAUUAUUGCAAUUAUUAAUCUUCAACGA
Molecule: ribosomal RNA, 963 nt
Filed under: uncultured eukaryote
Lineage: Eukaryota
Description: SSU rRNA
Rfam family: Eukaryotic small subunit ribosomal RNA
Source: RNAcentral